RNAcentral lists this long non-coding RNA (386 nucleotides) under Mytilus galloprovincialis (Mediterranean mussel). The record is from RNAcentral. Lineage: Eukaryota; Metazoa; Mollusca; Bivalvia; Mytilida; Mytilidae.
CAAAGUAAGAUUUACAAAUAAGUCAACAUGACUGAAAUGGUCAGUUGACCCCCUUAGGAGUUAUUGCCCUUUAUAGUCAAUUUUAACCAUUUUUCGUAAAUCUUAGUAAUCUUUUACAAAAAUCUUCUCCUCUGAAACUACUUGGCCAAAUUAAUCCAAACUUGGCCACAAUCAUCUUUUGGGUUAGUAGUUUGAAAAAUGUGUCCGGUGACCCGGCCAUCCAACCAAGAUGGCUGCCAUGGCUAAAAAUAGAACAUGGGGUAAAAUGCAGUUUUUGGCUUAUAACUCAAAACCCAAAGCAUUUAGAGCAAAUCUGAAAUGGGGUAAAAUUGUUUAUCAGGUCAACAUUUAUCUGCUCUGAAAUUUUUAGAUGAAUCGGACAACCC